GCUUGUUUGGAUGAGUUCACACAAGUUCUACAACUGUCAGAGGUGCUCCAGUCCAGGUUGCCAAGCCAUGAAUCUUAGGCUCGUGUGAUUUCUCAGUGGAGAAGAAGUCUUGUCUAAUGGGAGGUACAGAGGGAAGGCUUCCUGGAACAUGUGGAGACAAACCAGGAAGGUGAUCCAAAUGAAAGCAGAAACCACCCGGCUGGAUCAGAGAGGAUCCGGCAUCAGAGCCCUUGAAAGCCCAGGCAGUGGCCAGAAGACCCAGGCUCCCACCCUGGUGUUGACCCAUCCACGUGCUCAACAGAAAAUGGACCUGCUGGUUCUUACUUUUA
Molecule: long non-coding RNA, 329 nt
Organism: Callorhinus ursinus (northern fur seal)
Lineage: Eukaryota; Metazoa; Chordata; Mammalia; Carnivora; Otariidae
Source: RefSeq, a predicted model, not a curated record